UUUAUGGAGAGUUUGAUCCUGGCUCAGGAUGAACGCUGGCGGCGUGCCUAAUACAUGCAAGUCGAGCGAACGGACGAGAAGCUUGCUUCUCUGAUGUUAGCGGCGGACGGGUGAGUAACACGUGGAUAACCUACCUAUAAGACUGGGAUAACUUCGGGAAACCGGAGCUAAGACCGUCUUUCACUUUUGAACCGCAUGGUUCAAAAGUGAAAGACGGUCUUGCUGUCACUUAUAGAUGGAUCCGCGCUGCAUUAGCUAGUUGGUAAGGUAACGGCUUACCAAGGCAACGAUGCAUAGCCGACCUGAGAGGGUGA
RNAcentral lists this ribosomal RNA (314 nucleotides) under Staphylococcus aureus. RNAcentral describes it as "bacterial SSU rRNA". It matches the Rfam family "Bacterial small subunit ribosomal RNA", at positions 1 to 303 of the family's 1533-position model. The record is from RNAcentral. Lineage: Bacteria; Bacillati; Bacillota; Bacilli; Caryophanales; Staphylococcaceae.